Molecule: small nuclear RNA, 123 nt
Organism: Suncus etruscus (white-toothed pygmy shrew)
Lineage: Eukaryota; Metazoa; Chordata; Mammalia; Eulipotyphla; Soricidae
Source: RefSeq, a predicted model, not a curated record
UGUUUGUAUGAAAGGAGAGAAGGUUAACACUCCCCCUGACUUGGAUGGAAGAGGUUUCAGCCUGCGAGAACGCUUAUGGUUAAGGCACUUCCAACAACUUCAUGGCAUCUUUUUUUUUUUUUU